UGGGGAAUAUUGCACAAUGGGGGAAACCCUGAUGCAGCGACGCCGCGUGAACGAAGAAGGUAUUCGUAUCGUAAAGUUCUGUCCUAUGGGAAGAUAAUGACAGUACCAUAGAAGAAAGCUUCGGCUAAAUACGUGCCAGCAGCCGCGGUAAUACGUAUGGAGCGAGCGUUGUCCGGAAUUAUUGGGCGUAAAGGGUACGCAGGCGGUUUAAUAAGUCGAAUGUUAAAGAUCGGGGCUCAACCCCGUAAAGCAUUGGAAACUGAUAAACUUGAGUAGUGGAGAGGAAAGUGGAAUUCCUAGUGUAGUGGUGAAAUACGUAGAUAUUAGGAGGAAUACCAGUAGCGAAGGCGACUUUCUGGACACAAACUGACGCUGAGGUACGAAAGCGUGGGGAGCAAACAGG
This 403-nucleotide ribosomal RNA is filed under the name bacterium. RNAcentral describes it as "partial 16S ribosomal RNA". It matches the Rfam family "Bacterial small subunit ribosomal RNA", at positions 355 to 776 of the family's 1533-position model. RNAcentral also lists the same sequence under 2 other names. The record is from RNAcentral.